This 253-nucleotide ribosomal RNA is filed under the name uncultured bacterium. RNAcentral describes it as "partial 16S ribosomal RNA". It matches the Rfam family "Bacterial small subunit ribosomal RNA", at positions 524 to 776 of the family's 1533-position model. The record is from RNAcentral.
UACAGAGGUGGCAAGCGUUGUUCGGAAUUACUGGGCGUAAAGAGCGUGUAGGCGGCCAGACAGGUCCGUUGUGAAAACUAGAGGCUUAACCUCUAGACGUCGAUGGAAACCGUCUGGCUAGAGUCCGGAAGAGGAGAAUGGAAUUCCUGGUGUAGCGGUGAAAUGCGCAGAUAUCAGGAAGAACACCCGUGGCUAAGGCGGUUCUCUAGUACGGUACUGACGCUGAGACGCGAAAGCGUGGGGAGCGAACAGG